This 69-nucleotide transfer RNA is filed under the name Chinapotamon maolanense. Its description in RNAcentral is "tRNA-Trp". The record is from RNAcentral. Lineage: Eukaryota; Metazoa; Arthropoda; Malacostraca; Decapoda; Potamidae.
UAAGAUUUUAAGUUAAACAUAAACUAGAAGCCUUCAAAGCUUAAAAUAAAUGAACCUUUUAAAUCUUAA